GGAUGUGAGGGAAAUCUGGCAGUGGUAUCUGCCACUAUAUUAAUGCCAGGGUUGAGUCAGCUGAUCUGGCUGGCUAGGCUGGUGCCCCCUUCCUCCCUCAACACUCCACGUGUGUCCCUCCCGAAGCUACACCCUCAGUCAAAGCAGAUGAUCAUCCACCAGUACAGGAGGACCACGUCUGCGGUCAGGAUACACAAGCAGCUGUGAUCCGCUGCUAUAGUUAAGGAAACCAAGUGAACUUGUAGUCAUGUGAGUCCACGGAGGCAGCAAGUGGCAGAGCUUUGCCU
Unclassified non-coding RNA from Cavia porcellus (domestic guinea pig), 287 nucleotides. Its record names the gene 7SK. It matches the Rfam family "7SK RNA". From Rfam's summary of the family: 7SK was discovered as an abundant small nuclear RNA in the mid-70s but a possible function has only recently been suggested. Two independent studies have found that 7SK RNA binds the CDK9/cyclin T complex (known as elongation factor P-TEFb). P-TEFb activates transcription by phosphorylating the C-terminal domain of RNA polymerase II. The record is from Ensembl. Lineage: Eukaryota; Metazoa; Chordata; Mammalia; Rodentia; Caviidae.